RNAcentral lists this ribosomal RNA (408 nucleotides) under uncultured bacterium. Its description in RNAcentral is "partial 16S ribosomal RNA". It matches the Rfam family "Bacterial small subunit ribosomal RNA", at positions 28 to 526 of the family's 1533-position model. The record is from RNAcentral.
GACGAUCGCUGGCGGCGUGCUUAACACAUGCAAGUCGAACGAAGUGGCGAACGGGUGAGUAAUACGUGAGUAACCUGCCCUCCUUUUUGGGAUAAGCCUUGGAAACGGUGUCUAAUACCGAAUAAAGGGGGAUGGGCUCGCGGCCUAUCAGCUUGUUGGUGGGGUGAUGGCCUGCCAAGGCGGUGACGGGUAGCCGGCCUGAGAGGGUGACCGGCCGCAUAGGGACUAAAAUACGGCGCAGACGACUACGCGGGACAGGGGUGGGGAAUAUGGGACAAUGAGCGAGAGCCUGAUGCAGCGACACCGAGUGGGGGAUGAAAAAUUUCGGGUUGUAAGCCUCUUACGCUAUCGAGCGGGUAGGUGGGGAAGAAGCGCCGGCUACCUACGUGGCAGCAGCCGCGGUAAUAA